RNAcentral lists this ribosomal RNA (1210 nucleotides) under Pristimantis bicantus. Its description in RNAcentral is "partial large subunit ribosomal RNA". The stretch from base 432 to 1210 matches the Rfam family "Archaeal large subunit ribosomal RNA", at positions 1423 to 2882 of the family's 2987-position model. The record is from RNAcentral. Lineage: Eukaryota; Metazoa; Chordata; Amphibia; Anura; Strabomantidae.
UUAGCGAUAGCUGGUUUCUCAAAAAAAGAAUCUUAGUCCAACCUAAAGUUAUACAAAUUUACAUAAAUUUUCCCACUCACUUUAGAGCAAUUCAAAUGAGGUACAGCCCAUUUGAUACAGGAUCCAACCUUUACUAACGGGUAAUAUCUGACUCCACCCCCAAGUAGGCUUAAGAGCAGCCACCUUUUAAAAAGCGUCAAACCUUAACGUAUUAACACCAAUUCACAACCCCCCAUCAACCCCUUUCACCCUACUGAGAACUUCUAUAAUAUUAUAGAACCUUUAAUGUUAAAACUAGUAACAAGAGAUACACCCUCUCUAUAAUGCAAACUCAAACCAGCAAGAACCUAUCACUGGUGAUUAACAGAAACAAAGUAGUAACUUUCUCAAGAAAACUCUACUCCCUCAACUGUUAACCUAACACAAGAGCAUCCCAAGAAAGAUUUAAAGAAAAAGAAGGAACUCGGCAAAUAUAAAUCUCGCCUGUUUACCAAAAACAUCGCCUCUUGUCACCUAUAAGAGGUCCAGCCUGCCCAGUGACUCUUGUUCAACGGCCGCGGUAUCCUAACCGUGCGAAGGUAGCGUAAUCACUUGUCUUUUAAAUAAAGACUAGUAUGAAAGGCACCACGAAGAUUAAACUGUCUCCUCUCUCCAAUCAGUGAACCUAAUCUCCCCGUGAAAAAGCGGGAAUUUUUAUAUAAGACGAGAAGACCCUAUGGAGCUUAAAACAUCAUAACACUGCACCUCCACAUUAAUAACCCAAAUAUUUACCCCACAGCACACUGAUUAUAUGUUUUCGGUUGGGGUGACCGCGGAGAAAAACCCAUCCCCCGCGAUGAUGGGGGACCCCCCCCCACAAUAAGUCACAACUUUACGUAUCAACAAAUUGACAUUAUUGACCCAAUAUAUUGAUUAACGAACCAAGUUACCCUAGGGAUAACAGCGCAAUCCACUUUGAGAGCCCCUAUCGACAAGUGGGCUUACGACCUCGAUGUUGGAUCGGGAUACCCAAGUGGUGCAGCCGCUACUAAAGGUUCGUUUGUUCAACGAUUAAAACCCCACGUGAUCUGAGUUCAGACCGGAGUAAUCCAGGUCAGUUUCUAUCUAUAAUAGUGCUAUUUUUAGUACGAAAGGACCAAAAUAGCUCGGCCAAUACCUCUGGCAAGCCGUUAUUAAUUAAUUUAGACUUCCACUCAAAAACUAUUAACCU